Trachemys scripta elegans is the source of this 462-nucleotide long non-coding RNA. RefSeq lists it as uncharacterized. Lineage: Eukaryota; Metazoa; Chordata; Testudines; Emydidae. The transcript has 3 exons. The record is from RefSeq and is a predicted model, not a curated record.
UCUCUGGCUCAUCAUCUCUGCUGACGCCAAACCGCGGAUCCCACCUUUACCCUAACUUUUUAAAUAUAGCUUCCCUAAGGGCCAUGGGCACCGGACACUAGCAGAAAUCAAUCCCAAAUCAGUGACAUCAGUUUGAAGAGAAUCAGAACCACAGUAAGAGACUAUCUCAGGAAGAUUUUGUUCAAACAGCCUCAACAUGUGGACCACUAAUCCUACUCUGGACCUCAUGAAGGAAAAGUUUUCAAGACAAACCCUGCAAGCAUGUGAAUGUUAGAGGACUUUGACAAGACUGGUUAAGCAGUAAACUAGUCUCAUCCUUAACCAGAGCCCUACUAUAAUCCAGGGUUUUGUACUAGUGCCAAAUACGUGACAUCUGGGCAUCUUUCAAAGAAGAUUGGCAAAGCAAAGUCCGUAAUAGACUUCAUCUUCUCUUCGGUGAGAGGAAGAUCUGCCUGGGCUAAG